GGCUCAGAUUGAACGCUGGCGGCAGGCCUAACACAUGCAAGUCGAACGGUAGCACAGAGAGCUUGCUCUCGGGUGACGAGUGACGAGCGGCGGACGGGUGAGUAAUGUCUGGGAAACUGCCUGAUGGAGGGGGAUAACUACUGGAAACGGUAGCUAAUACCGCAUAACGUCGCAAGACCAAAGAGGGGGACCUUCGGGCCUCUUGCCAUCAGAUGUGCCCAGAUGGGAUUAGCUAGUAGGUGGGGUAACGGCUCACCUAGGCGACGAUCCCUAGCUGGUCUGAGAGGAUGACCAGCCACACUGGAACUGAGACACGGUCCAGACUCCUACGGGAGGCAGCAGUGGGGAAUAUUGCACAAUGGGCGCAAGCCUGAUGCAGCCAUGCCGCGUGUAUGAAGAAGGCCUUCGGGUUGUAAAGUACUUUCAGCGGGGAGGAAGGCGAUAAGGUUAAUAACCUUGUCGAUUGACGUUACCCGCAGAAGAAGCACCGGCUAACUCCGUGCCAGCAGCCGCGGUAAUACGGAGGGUGCAAGCGUUAAUCGGAAUUACUGGGCGUAAAGCGCACGCAGGCGGUCUGUCAAGUCGGAUGUGAAAUCCCCGGGCUCAACCUGGGAACUGCAUUCGAAACUGGCAGGCUAGAGUCUUGUAGAGGGGGGUAGAAUUCCAGGUGUAGCGGUGAAAUGCGUAGAGAUCUGGAGGAAUACCGGUGGCGAAGGCGGCCCCCUGGACAAAGACUGACGCUCAGGUGCGAAAGCGUGGGGAGCAAA
RNAcentral lists this ribosomal RNA (767 nucleotides) under Enterobacter sp. JA38. RNAcentral describes it as "bacterial SSU rRNA". It matches the Rfam family "Bacterial small subunit ribosomal RNA", at positions 21 to 772 of the family's 1533-position model. Lineage: Bacteria; Pseudomonadati; Pseudomonadota; Gammaproteobacteria; Enterobacterales; Enterobacteriaceae. The record is from RNAcentral.